CUGCUGCCGCCUCAGAACCUCGUAUGAGCCCCGCGGUGUGGUAGCUCCUGUGUUGACGUUUUUGUUUUGGGAAGAGGUUUGGUUCUUUUGAAGUUAGUGUCUUUUGGGUCAGUGAAAAGUGUGGGGGUCCGAAGGACGUCCCGCGUUCAGCCGAGGACUCGCAUCCCAGGGCCGAGAAUGUCUGGUGCGAGUCCUGGCCGCUGCACGCCUGCGGGCGCUUCCGCGGGGCGCCUUUGGCUCGUGGCUUCCGAAGUUGCUCUACGUUGGGCCUGGGCGGCAGUAAUCACGCCCUUAGGGGUUAACUCGGCUCUCCAGGGCGCACGCCGCGGGAGGGCUCCGCGCCCUUCGUGGGGUUGGCACCGCUUCUCCUGGAAGCUCAGCUCCAGCGGUGACUGUGUGAGGAAGCCUGCGUGGCUUCCUGUCCCACCGAUCGACAGGGUUUCCUCUGGCUGACAGCUCGGACAACCUGAAAGGAGAGGAGCGUGUAAUGCCAAACUGGGUCUCUCUUCUGUUUAAACCCUUAAAAAUUCCUAUCCCCUACAGGGCAGAGUACAGUGUUUUCCAGAGCUCUCUGGGAACCUCAGUGACCUGGCCCCAGUCGCUUUCCACCCUCAACUCGGGCUGUUUUCCUGCUGGACAUACCCCACAGCCUAGUCUCCCAGAGAGAGGUCCUGCUUUGUCUCAUUCUCUCUAGCAGCUAGAAGAGUGUUGUACACACGGUAGAGACUGAAUUAAUGCUUAUCAAAUAAAUGUUAAUGAAUUUUGAUGACAUUAUCCAAAAGCUUUAACAAUCCUCCACGGGUGCAUGAGGCCCCGUAUAGAGAGGUUAGAGUCAGCCACAGAUAUGGAGUCUUAUGAGUAUUUGAAUGAUAAUAAUUAACAUUUAACAAUCAUCCAUUGUCAGCAUUGGCAAGAUGUUUGGGUAAAGGGCAGACACUUGGGUGGGGUAAUCAGUAAUGGCUGGAAUUUCAUGGCUGUUUGGAAUAGACUUGAUACUUUCCACCUCUUUCCAUGGAACCAAUUAUAGUGAUUGAUUCCUAACAUCCAUUUUACUCCAAAUAAUUAGUCUUAGCCCCAGCCAAUGGUUUCAGCAUGGACAUGUGACCCAAUCUUGGCCACAAAAUGUGAAAGGAAGCUUGCUGGGUGGCUCUGGGAAAGGUAUUCUCACUUCUAAGAGGUACAAAGAAGAUGGAUCCUUUCUCCUUUUGGACAUUGUGGUGUCUAGGUGUGAGGCUCGGAACAGCUGCACCCAUAUUUUGAGCAUGAGGGGAGCCAGCAUGACUGCAAGGCCAACACACUGAGGACAGCAGAGCGGAGGUGGAAAGAACUAUGGCCUUUGAGGACAGCUUUGAGGCCAACCAUGGUGUCCACUCAACCUCUGCUCUUCCAACUCUGUGAGACAGAUUCUCCUUAUUGUUUAAGCCAUUUUGAGUUUGGUAAGCUGUUCUGUUACAUCAACUGAAAGCAUCCUGAUUCAUCCAGGCUGACUUCCUGGUAGGAAGUUAAAAUUUUUACAUGUUCGUAAAUCACAGAGAAACAACCCGGAAGGAAAGAGUUUCUAGGCAGGCAUGCAGCUUGUUGAGAACGCUGGAGCAAGAGAACUUUGUCACAAGGUUGUGGAGGGAGAACUGUUGAUCAGCCUGGGGAAACCUCCUGAAGAACUUUCAAGUGGAUUGAAAACUCGUUAGGUCCUGGGAACCUACGUUAAGACUUUGCAGACAUAUGUGGACCGGCCAAAGAAGCCAGAGACGAUGACUAGAGUGUAGGCCCCACAGUUGGGGUGGUAGAGAAGGAAAAGCCUGGGUAAAUGGUGUUUCCUUGGGGAGAAGUCCUUUGCGUCUAGAAUAGUGAUGGAAUCAGCAGUUCUCCCUAAGAACUCAGCGGCACACUGUAAGAGUCUUCUGUCUGGAAUGGGUUCCUGUCCUGAAACAUACGUGAAUCCAAGGAAUUUAAGGAACUUGUUCCUUGGCUUCAUGCUCUGUUCUAGCCCAGUGUCCCCUUACACCUCUGGCCACUCCUUAGUCUCCUUCGUGGCUUACUUUGACUGCCCCUGAACAUAUUCCCCAAGGUUCUUACUCUGCACCAGCACCUGGGUAAUACUACUCACUCCCCUGGCUUCAGUUACCACCUAUAUGCUGACAGCUCUGAAAUCUCUCUCUCCUAGUUGUCUCUUGAGGAGACAGGCCCCUGCCAUUAAAAUUUCCCAUAAGCACAUCACAUUUAAGACAUGUAAACUAAACUCAUUACAUCCACCUCUUCCAGCCUUGUUUCUUCUCUCAAAAUCUCAGUGAGCACUGUUAACUAUCUUCUAUUAUCCAGCCUACCGUGUAACACUCCACUUAGACAUCCCUUCCUCCAGGAAGCCUUCCUAUCUCCUGCAUUUGGUGCCCCUCGGCAUCUUCUACCUAACUUUGUCGUGCUACUUACCAUAUGUUAAAAUUCCUAGUUUCCCUGUCUCCUCUACUAGAGUAUAUAAGCUUUGCAAGACGAUCUUGUUAUACUGCUUUAUGCACAGCUCCUAGCACAUCAUAGGCAUUAAAUAUGAAUGAAUACUAAUAUAUUCUUUAUACCCAGUGUCUAACACAUCUGAAUGAAUAUGAAAAUAUUCUUCUGGAUGCAAGCAAUGUAUUUACUUGUUCCCAACCUAAAAGCUCUAUCCAGAACCGACUUAAGAGCAAAAAUUGAGAUUAUUGCUUGCUUUUGUUGUGUUGCCACACGGCACCUGUGUCCUCGUUAUAGGUGUUCAUUAAUGUCUACUCAAAGCUAUGUACGGGCCAGAUGGGGACUAUGAAUAAUGAAUAGGCAAAAGAAGAGAAGAGAAUCAUUUUAAAAAUUACAUCUGGUUCUAAGAUCAUAUGCUGCUUGGACUGGUGAGUGAGUGGGUGAGUAGCCACCAUAAUCUCCAAGUGCGAAUGAGGGGCCCGUUAACAGCAGUGCUACCGAGCCAGUUUCUCCUGAAGCAGCCUUGCAAUUGUUCUUGGUUGUUUCACAAACAGCGUUGUGGGAGUCCAGGGCAGAUUUUAGCCAGAAGGCAGAAUUCACCAACCUACCACGUAGCAAACUCCCUUGUUGGUCUGGAGGGAGCAAUCACCAAAGCGGACUGGCCACAGCCAGAGUUUGCAGUGUGCUUCUUACCACAGGGAUAGCCAACACUCCCUUGGCACAGCUCCCCCAGGAUGGGUCCAGAUCAAAGGUAAUGACAUUAUCCAGGGUUGUAAGAAGUGUUAAUUAUAACCAUGGGAAUAGAUGAACUCCCAUGGACGACACGUCAUCAGAGAGGAAGGCAAUGAUGAGUACAGGGGACAAACUGCAUUAACGAGAAAUAAGGAACACCUGAGAGAAAACUGUCAAAGACUGGCUUGGCAUUGUUUGCAAGUGUCCCAGAAACUAGAGUGGUCAGUUGCAUCAAAUACAGCUGAGAGGCCAAGGGAACUAUCUGGUAAGCCCUAAGUGACAAGCACGUGUACAUUUUUGUUCUCAUUAAAACCUUCCCAGCAGUAGUAUCCACUAAAACUCACGUGAAGAGAUGGCAACUGGUACAUGCUCCAAUCCAGAACUUUGCCGAUGUUCUCAUUCCUCUUGUCCACAAACUGACAUCGUUCCCUUCAAGGGCCAAAUUAACCACUUCUACGAAAUGAUUCUUAACUAAACCCUCUUACCUUAGCCAGCGUCUUGAACUACAUACCUACAACCUUUUAAUUCGCUUUUUUCCCAUCAUUGCAUUGCCAUUUCACAUGAUUGUUUCCCACUCAUACGUUUUUGGCACAGCAACCAUUCAGACUGCUGGUGCGAUGCCAUCCUCAGAAGCUCGGCGACAUUUCUUCCUCUUAUUCAAGAGGAUGAAGGGAGGCAGAAAGACACCGUGCCGAGCCUGGGCUCUUCGAACCAGACGCGGUUGAGCUGCCAGGUUUGAGUGGAAACUAUCCAAAUAAUAAAAAUUUAUAUCUGGAGCAGUUUGACCAAGAGACAUGGUCUGUCAUCAGGACUGGAACCUCACUUCAAGGAAAAAUGGAGCCACAGGGGAUACAGCAGUUUGCCCAAGCCGUGAAGCAGGUAAGUGGUGAAGCCAGGAUUCAAACUCAUUAGCUCCAGAGGUCACUCUCAACCUGGAUUAUGACUUACCACCUCUCUUAUCAGUCAUCCCAACAAAUAAAGCAUCCAAUUCCAGAAAUGAAGACUGACUCUGCACAAUCUUAAGUUCUCUCUGCCCAAGUUAUUCAUCCAUUAACACAAAUUCAAUAGAAACAUGAAAACUGCUAAUGACACAUAUAGGUCCAUAUUAAAUUUAGUCAUAAAAUUACAUCACCUGUUGAAAAACUAAUUUCCUAUUGCACACCAACGAUUAUAUAACACCAAAAGGAAGAGAAAUUUGUUUAAAUUGGGUACGUUAAAAGGAUGUACAUAACAAAAACCAAUAAAUCAAGGAAAUAUUUAGUAUUUUAGUAUACACCAAAAUGUUUAUC
Diceros bicornis minor is the source of this 4463-nucleotide long non-coding RNA. RefSeq lists it as uncharacterized. The record is from RefSeq and is a predicted model, not a curated record. NCBI's taxonomy places the organism in Eukaryota, Metazoa, Chordata, Mammalia, Perissodactyla, Rhinocerotidae. The transcript is spliced from 3 exons.